RNAcentral lists this ribosomal RNA (253 nucleotides) under uncultured bacterium. RNAcentral's name for it is "partial 16S ribosomal RNA". It matches the Rfam family "Bacterial small subunit ribosomal RNA", at positions 524 to 776 of the family's 1533-position model. The record is from RNAcentral.
UACGUAGGUGGCAAGCGUUGUCCGGAUUUACUGGGCGUAAAGGGCGCGCAGGCGGUCGUCCAAGUCGCGUGUGAAAGCCCCCGGCUCAACUGGGGAGGGUCACGCGAUACUGCUCGACUCGAAGGCAGGAGAGGGAAGUGGAAUUCCCGGUGUAGUGGUGAAAUGCGUAGAUAUCGGGAGGAACACCAGUGGCGAAGGCGACUUCCUGGCCUGUUCUUGACGCUGAGGCGCGAAAGCUAGGGUAGCAAACGGG